UACGUAGGGGGCAAGCGUUAUCCGGAUUUACUGGGUGUAAAGGGAGCGUAGACGGACUUGCAAGUCUGAUGUGAAAAUCCGGGGCCCAACCCCGGAACUGCAUUGGAAACCGUAUAUCUAGAGUGUCGGAGAGGCAAGUGGAAUUCCUGGUGUAGCGGUGAAAUGCGUAGAUAUCAGGAGGAACACCAGUGGCGAAGGCGGCUUGCUGGACGAUGACUGACGUUGAGGCUCGAAAGCGUGGGGAGCAAACAGG
This 253-nucleotide ribosomal RNA is filed under the name uncultured bacterium. RNAcentral's name for it is "partial 16S ribosomal RNA". It matches the Rfam family "Bacterial small subunit ribosomal RNA", at positions 524 to 776 of the family's 1533-position model. The record is from RNAcentral.